RNAcentral lists this small RNA (75 nucleotides) under Pseudomonas oryzihabitans. RNAcentral describes it as "sX9 sRNA". It matches the Rfam family "Xanthomonas sRNA sX9". Lineage: Bacteria; Pseudomonadati; Pseudomonadota; Gammaproteobacteria; Pseudomonadales; Pseudomonadaceae. The record is from RNAcentral.
AUGUACCACUCGUACACUGCGGUUCCUGCGCGCGCGCGCACCUGCCUGACAGCCGCUCGCUACAUUUUGUUAGCC